Long non-coding RNA from Leptinotarsa decemlineata (Colorado potato beetle), 500 nucleotides. Lineage: Eukaryota; Metazoa; Arthropoda; Insecta; Coleoptera; Chrysomelidae. The record is from RefSeq and is a predicted model, not a curated record.
UUGAGAGUCAACAUGUUAUGUAAAAGCAAGUUAUGCAGUAGCUGCAAUAUUCGCAAAAAAAAUCAAGCCAUUUUCAGACGGUGAAAUUGUUAAAGAGUGCUUGGAAAGUGUCGCGGAAAUUGUGUGUCCAGAAAAGAAGAAGGAUUUCUCAAAAAUAAGCCUAUCUCGUCAAACUAUUACAAGACGUGUGGAUGAUAUUUGCCUGCACAUUGAACAUAAUUUUAAAAAACGUGCAUCUGAGUUUAUAUAUUAUUCUCUGGCAUUGGACGAAAGUAUGGAUAUGACAGAUACUGUACAAGUGGCGAUCUUUAUCAGAGCAUGCUGCUUUCUUCCUCCUGGGCAGGUGCACUAUUAUCUUUACAACAGAUUAUUUUGUUUUCAUUCACAAAAACUACUUCUUUCUUGACAUUUGUUAUGGAAAACACUUGAACACUGUGCACACAUAUUGCAGUAAAAGUUUAUUUUUACAACAUUGAUAAUUAAAAGUCACAGAGCACUGA